GUCCACGCCGUAAACGAUGAAUGCCAGACGUCAGCAGGCAUGCCUGUUGGUGUCACACCUAACGGAUUAAGCAUUCCGCCUGGGGAGUACGGCCGCAAGGUUAAAACUCAAAGGAAUUGACGGGGGCCCCGCACAAGCGGUGGAGCAUGUGGUUUAAUUCGAAGCAACGCGCAGAACCUUACCAACCCUUGACAUGGGUAUCGCGGGAUCAGAGAUGGUCCUUUCAGUUCGGCUGGAUACCACACAGGUGCUGCAUGGCUGUCGU
RNAcentral lists this ribosomal RNA (265 nucleotides) under uncultured bacterium. RNAcentral's name for it is "partial 16S ribosomal RNA". It matches the Rfam family "Bacterial small subunit ribosomal RNA", at positions 793 to 1055 of the family's 1533-position model. The record is from RNAcentral.